UUUCAUAUAACAUUCAUAAACUCCUUUCAUACAUUAUAGGUUUAGUUUGAACUUUGAAAUACUUUGAAUUAAAAUCGCAUAGGCAUUUUUCAUUUCAUCAGCAUGUCACAUGCAUAAGCAUGCUACAUGAACCAUCCAUGAACUCAUUUUAUUACAAGGAUGUUCACAUGUUACAAUCCUUACCAUGAAAAAAAAUUAAGAGAGCAUCUUGCUUGAAAUGGGCAGCUUUUGUCAUGAUCUUCCAUGCUCCAUCCAGUUCCAUUUAGCCUUGAUAUGUUAAGCAAGUCAUGCCCAUUCACCAAAACCUGUAAAUCUAAUACAAAUC
This 325-nucleotide long non-coding RNA is filed under the name Lathyrus oleraceus (garden pea). RNAcentral describes it as "Pisum sativum (pea) long non-coding RNA (PSAT_LNC001376)". The record is from RNAcentral. Lineage: Eukaryota; Viridiplantae; Streptophyta; Magnoliopsida; Fabales; Fabaceae.